GGGUCGUUAGCUCAGUUGGUAGAGCACCGGGCUUUUAACCUGUUGGUCCUGGGUUCGAGUCCCAGACGACCCACCA
This 76-nucleotide transfer RNA is filed under the name Pseudomonadales bacterium. RNAcentral describes it as "tRNA-Lys". It matches the Rfam family "tRNA". Rfam says of the family: Transfer RNA (tRNA) molecules are approximately 80 nucleotides in length. Lineage: Bacteria; Pseudomonadati; Pseudomonadota; Gammaproteobacteria; Pseudomonadales. The record is from RNAcentral. RNAcentral also lists the same sequence under 1 other name.